UACGAAGGGGGCUAGCGUUGCUCGGAAUCACUGGGCGUAAAGGGCGCGUAGGCGGCCGAUCAAGUCAGGGGUGAAAGCCUGUGGCUCAACCACAGAAUUGCCUUUGAUACUGUUCGGCUCGAGACCGGAAGAGGUUGGUGGAACUGCGAGUGUAGAGGUGAAAUUCGUAGAUAUUCGCAAGAACACCAGUGGCGAAGGCGGCCAACUGGUCCGGUUCUGACGCUGAGGCGCGAAAGCGUGGGGAGCAAACAGGAUUAGAAACCCCCGUAGUCC
This 273-nucleotide ribosomal RNA is filed under the name uncultured bacterium. RNAcentral describes it as "partial 16S ribosomal RNA". It matches the Rfam family "Bacterial small subunit ribosomal RNA", at positions 524 to 796 of the family's 1533-position model. The record is from RNAcentral.